CUUUCGCCCCGAUAACUUCGUCUUCGGACAGUCUGGUGCUGGCAACAACUGGGCCAAGGGUUAUUACACGGAGGGAGCUGAGCUCAUUGAUUCUGUUCUUGAUGUUGUCAGGAAAGAGGCUGAGAAUUGUGAUUGCUUACAAGGUAUAAACCCUACAGCUUUGACCCUUUUUUUUCUUUCCCCCAAAGCACUUUUAACCUAUAGGUUUUGUUGAAAUCUCUGUUUUUUGGUUCUUGGUUUAAUGUUAAAUUUAUCCUUUCACCUCCGUCAAUUUUGGAUCUCAUAAUUUAUUUUUGGUUCUUGGGUUCAGUAAGCUAUUUUUGGUGCUUUCCAGGAGAUUUUCUUUCAUUUUCCUUUCUCCUAUUUCGGUGGAUUUUAGGGAGGUCUUUUAUUUCAUCUUUAGUGCUGAUAUAUUUCUCCUUAGUCUGGACUAUGUCUUCUUGUCUGUUAUACCUACUGAACACUUCUAUUUUGAAGUAAAAUUGUUAUAAACAACACAGAGGUUUUAUUAAGCAAACUUUAGCAAGGGACUUCACAAACUUUAGCAAGGUUAGUUUGGCUUAAAAAUUCUAUGUUGAAUGGAUAUUUUCCUUUGAGUGUAACUCUUCUAAUGUUCAGCUGAGAGAAAGAAGUUAUUAACAUUGCUUACCAUGCAGCAAUGAAAUCUCAGAACCUACUGCUCCCGCUUCUGAGGUUUUCCAGUUAGUGGGCGUAUAAUGGAGACAAUGCAAGGUCAAAGUCUUCAGCAGCACUUUUUCCUGCUUCUAAUGAAUUAUAUUGUUUUGCAGCAUAUAGUUGAUUUCAAUUUUCCAAGGUUAGCAGAUUUUGGAGCUGCAAUAUCUGGUGCAAACAAAUUGCAAUGCCAGCAAGUUAUUGAAGAGUUGGAUGUGCAUAAGCGGUUGCAACUUACACUGGAAUUAGUAAAAAAGGAAAUGGAAAUCAGCAAGAUUCAGGUACUUAAUGCCAUUGAAUCUCCUUGCACCUCUACGUUAUUUAAACCUUUUUGUUGUUGUUGUUUGAUUUGAGUAGGUCUAAAUCAUUUGAAGCAUACUUUUAGGACUCAAUUGCGAAAGCAAUCGAGGAAAGAUAAGUGGUGAACAACGUUGAUACUUGUUGAAUGAGCAGCUUAAGGCAAUAAAGAAGGAACUUGGGUUAGAAACAGACGACAAAAUUGCACUUUCAGUUACUCAAAGAGGGCAGAUGCUACUGAGAAUUUGCAAGAAGCCGUGGAUGUAUUUUUCUUUGGUCACACAUGGAGUGAUAAGUAAAGUUUUCUUUUUUUGUUUUACCACUACGGAAAAUUAAGGUGAUGUUUUUAUUAUUAGACUAAAAAUAAGGACGACAUUGAGAAAUUAAAUAUGUAGCCAAAAUUUUGUUCCCUGUAAGUAACAUAUACUCGUACAGUUCAAUCAAUUCAGCGCUGCAAGAAAACGGAAGCGAAUGUAUAAUAACCGUGUAUUGUAGUAAUAAUUUUUGUUAUAUAUUAAUGAAAAGAAUAUAUGUUCUUUUA
Gossypium raimondii (Peruvian cotton) is the source of this 1510-nucleotide RNA transcript. RefSeq lists it as uncharacterized. The transcript has 6 exons. Lineage: Eukaryota; Viridiplantae; Streptophyta; Magnoliopsida; Malvales; Malvaceae. The record is from RefSeq and is a predicted model, not a curated record.